This 292-nucleotide ribosomal RNA is filed under the name uncultured bacterium. Its description in RNAcentral is "partial 16S ribosomal RNA". The record is from RNAcentral.
GGACUACACGGGUAUCUAAUCCUGUUUGCUCCCCUUGCUCUCGCGCCUCAGCGUCAGGAAAUAGCUAGAAAACCGCUUUCGCCACAGGUGUUCUUCCACAUAUCUACGCAUUUCACCGCUACACGUGGAAUUCCGUUUUCUCCGCCAUCCCUCUAGUUUUGUAGUUUCAAAUGCAGCUCCAGAGUUGAGCUCUGGAAUUUCACAUCUGACUUACAAUUCCGCCUACGCGCCCUUUACGCCCAAUAAUUCCGAUUAAUGCUUGCACUCUCCGUAUUACCGCGGCUGCUGGCAC